GGGUUGUGAGGUUAAGCGACUAAGCGUACACGGUGGAUGCCCUGGCAGUCAGAGGCGAUGAAGGACGUGCUAAUCUGCGAUAAGCGUCGGUAAGGUGAUAUGAACCGUUAUAACCGGCGAUUUCCGAAUGGGGAAACCCAGUGUGAUUCGUCACACUAUCAUUAACUGAAUCCAUAGGUUAAUGAGGCGAACCGGGGGAACUGAAACAUCUAAGUACCCCGAGGAAAAGAAAUCAACCGAGAUUCCCCAGUAGCGGCGAGCGAACGGGGAGCAGCCCAGAGCCUGAAUCAGUGUGUGUGUUAGUGGAAGCGUCUGGAAAGGCGCGCGAUACAGGGUGACAGCCCCGUACACAAAAUGCACAUAUUGUGAGCUCGAUGAGUAGGGCGGGACACGUGGUAUCCUGUCUGAAUAUGGGGGGCCCAUCCUCCAAGGCUAAAUACUCCUGACUGACCGAUAGUGAACCAGUACCGUGAGGGAAAGGCGAAAAGAACCCCGGCGAGGGGAGUGAAAAAGAACCUGAAACCGUGUACGUACAAGCAGUGGGAGCACGCUUAGGCGUGUGACUGCGUACCUUUUGUAUAAUGGGUCAGCGACUUAUAUUCUGUAGCAAGGUUAACCGAAUAGGGGAGCCGAAGGGAAACCGAGUCUUAACUGGGCGUUAAGUUGCAGGGUAUAGACCCGAAACCCGGUGAUCUAGCCAUGGGCAGGUUGAAGGUUGGGUAACACUAACUGGAGGACCGAACCGACUAAUGUUGAAAAAUUAGCGGAUGACUUGUGGCUGGGGGUGAAAGGCCAAUCAAACCGGGAGAUAGCUGGUUCUCCCCGAAAGCUAUUUAGGUAGCGCCUCGUGAAUUCAUCUCCGGGGGUAGAGCACUGUUUCGGCAAGGGGGUCAUCCCGACUUACCAACCCGAUGCAAACUGCGAAUACCGGAGAAUGUUAUCACGGGAGACACACGGCGGGUGCUAACGUCCGUCGUGAAGAGGGAAACAACCCAGACCGCCAGCUAAGGUCCCAAAGUCAUGGUUAAGUGGGAAACGAUGUGGGAAGGCCCAGACAGCCAGGAUGUUGGCUUAGAAGCAGCCAUCAUUUAAAGAAAGCGUAAUAGCUCACUGGUCGAGUCGGCCUGCGCGGAAGAUGUAACGGGGCUAAACCAUGCACCGAAGCUGCGGCAGCGACGCUUAUGCGUUGUUGGGUAGGGGAGCGUUCUGUAAGCCUGCGAAGGUGUGCUGUGAGGCAUGCUGGAGGUAUCAGAAGUGCGAAUGCUGACAUAAGUAACGAUAAAGCGGGUGAAAAGCCCGCUCGCCGGAAGACCAAGGGUUCCUGUCCAACGUUAAUCGGGGCAGGGUGAGUCGACCCCUAAGGCGAGGCCGAAAGGCGUAGUCGAUGGGAAACAGGUUAAUAUUCCUGUACUUGGUGUUACUGCGAAGGGGGACGGAGAAGGCUAUGUUGGCCGGGCGACGGUUGUCCCGGUUUAAGCGUGUAGGCUGGUUUUCCAGGCAAAUCCGGAAAAUCAAGGCUGAGGCGUGAUGACGAGGCACUACGGUGCUGAAGCAACAAAUGCCCUGCUUCCAGGAAAAGCCUCUAAGCAUCAGGUAACAUCAAAUCGUACCCCAAACCGACACAGGUGGUCAGGUAGAGAAUACCAAGGCGCUUGAGAGAACUCGGGUGAAGGAACUAGGCAAAAUGGUGCCGUAACUUCGGGAGAAGGCACGCUGAUAUGUAGGUGAAGUCCCUUGCGGAUGGAGCUGAAAUCAGUCGAAGAUACCAGCUGGCUGCAACUGUUUAUUAAAAACACAGCACUGUGCAAACACGAAAGUGGACGUAUACGGUGUGACGCCUGCCCGGUGCCGGAAGGUUAAUUGAUGGGGUCAGCGCAAGCGAAGCUCUUGAUCGAAGCCCCGGUAAACGGCGGCCGUAACUAUAACGGUCCUAAGGUAGCGAAAUUCCUUGUCGGGUAAGUUCCGACCUGCACGAAUGGCGUAAUGAUGGCCAGGCUGUCUCCACCCGAGACUCAGUGAAAUUGAACUCGCUGUGAAGAUGCAGUGUACCCGCGGCAAGACGGAAAGACCCCGUGAACCUUUACUAUAGCUUGACACUGAACAUUGAGCCUUGAUGUGUAGGAUAGGUGGGAGGCUUUGAAGUGUGGACGCCAGUCUGCAUGGAGCCGGCCUUGAAAUACCACCCUUUAAUGUUUGAUGUUCUAACGUGGACCCGUGAUCCGGGUUGCGGACAGUGUCUGGUGGGUAGUUUGACUGGGGCGGUCUCCUCCUAAAGAGUAACGGAGGAGCACGAAGGUUGGCUAAUCCUGGUCGGACAUCAGGAGGUUAGUGCAAUGGCAUAAGCCAGCUUGACUGCGAGCGUGACGGCGCGAGCAGGUGCGAAAGCAGGUCAUAGUGAUCCGGUGGUUCUGAAUGGAAGGGCCAUCGCUCAACGGAUAAAAGGUACUCCGGGGAUAACAGGCUGAUACCGCCCAAGAGUUCAUAUCGACGGCGGUGUUUGGCACCUCGAUGUCGGCUCAUCACAUCCUGGGGCUGAAGUAGGUCCCAAGGGUAUGGCUGUUCGCCAUUUAAAGUGGUACGCGAGCUGGGUUUAGAACGUCGUGAGACAGUUCGGUCCCUAUCUGCCGUGGGCGCUGGAGAACUGAGGGGGCUGCUCCUAGUACGAGAGGACCGGAGUGGACGCAUCACUGGUGUUCGGGUUGUCAUGCCAAUGGCACUGCCCGGUAGCUAAAUGCGGAAGAGAUAAGUGCUGAAAGCAUCUAAGCACGAAACUUGCCCCGAGAUGAGUUCUCCCUGACCCUUUAAGGGUCCUGAAGGAACGUUGAAGACGACGACGUUGAUAGGCCGGGUGUGUAAGCGCAGCGAUGCGUUGAGCUAACCGGUACUAAUGAACCGUGAGGCUUAACCUUACAACGCCGAAG
RNAcentral lists this ribosomal RNA (2921 nucleotides) under Shigella sonnei. Its description in RNAcentral is "23S ribosomal RNA". It matches the Rfam family "Bacterial large subunit ribosomal RNA". Lineage: Bacteria; Pseudomonadati; Pseudomonadota; Gammaproteobacteria; Enterobacterales; Enterobacteriaceae. The record is from RNAcentral.